This 253-nucleotide ribosomal RNA is filed under the name uncultured bacterium. RNAcentral's name for it is "partial 16S ribosomal RNA". It matches the Rfam family "Bacterial small subunit ribosomal RNA", at positions 524 to 776 of the family's 1533-position model. The record is from RNAcentral.
UACGAAGGGGGCUAGCGUUGUUCGGAAUUACUGGGCGUAAAGCGCGCGCAGGCGGUCCUUCAAGUCAGAGGUGAAAGCCCAGAGCUCAACUCUGGAACGGCCUUUGAGACUAGAGGACUUGGGUACGGGAGAGGUGAGUGGAAUUCCGAGUGUAGAGGUGAAAUUCGUAGAUAUUCGGAAGAACACCAGUGGCGAAGGCGGCUCACUGGACCAUUACUGACGCUGAUGCACGAAAGCUAGGGGAGCAAACAGG